UGAGGAAUAUUGGUCAAUGGACGGAAGUCUGAACCAGCCAUGCCGCGUGAAGGAUGAAGGCGUUCUGCGUUGUAAACUUCUUUUAUCUGGGAAGAAACCACAGAUUUCUAUUUGUGUUGACGGUACCAGAAGAAUAAGCACCGGCUAACUCCGUGCCAGCAGCCGCGGUAAUACGGAGGGUGCGAGCGUUAUCCGGAUUUACUGGGUUUAAAGGGUGCGUAGGCGGGCUAUUAAGUCAGAGGUGAAAUCUCCGGGCUCAACCUGGAAACUGCCUUUGAUACUAUUAGCCUUGAAUUAUGUUGAGGUUGGCGGAAUAUAACAUGUAGCGGUGAAAUGCUUAGAUAUGUUAUGGAACACCGAUUUCGAAGGCAGCUGGCUAAACAUAUAUUGAUGCUGAUGCACGAAAGCGUGUGUAGCGAAC
Molecule: ribosomal RNA, 421 nt
Filed under: uncultured bacterium
Lineage: Bacteria
Description: bacterial SSU rRNA
Rfam family: Bacterial small subunit ribosomal RNA
Source: RNAcentral